CCCCUUUCAGGGUCACACCUGGAGAGUUUUCAGUACUCCACCAGUCUCAACUACAGGAGGGAGAGUCAAGCAGAGACCUAUCCAUUCCAUUUCUAGCUUGGGCAGUGGCUAGCAAGUGGAAGGCAAUCUUCUACAAGU
RNAcentral lists this small nucleolar RNA (138 nucleotides) under Ornithorhynchus anatinus (platypus). Lineage: Eukaryota; Metazoa; Chordata; Mammalia; Monotremata; Ornithorhynchidae. The record is from RNAcentral.